CCCUUAGAUGUCCUGGGCUGCACGCGCGCUACACUGGAAGUUACGGAUUGAGAUACUACCUUGUCCGAAAUGGUCCGGGUAAUCACCUAAAAGCUUGUCAUAAUUGGAAUGGAUUAUUGUAACUAGUAAUCCUGAACGAGGAAUUCCUAGUAAGUCCCAGUCAACAGCUAGUACUGAUUACGUCCCUGCCCUUUGUACACACCGCCCGUCGCUACUACUGAUUGGACGUUUAAGCAAGAUUUUUAAACACUGACAGUGUGUAGUUCACGCUAUACUACAGUGAGAAGAAGAAGAUCGAGCUUACUUGUCUAGAGGAAGUAAAAGUCGUAACA
RNAcentral lists this ribosomal RNA (332 nucleotides) under uncultured eukaryote. RNAcentral describes it as "partial 18S ribosomal RNA". It matches the Rfam family "Eukaryotic small subunit ribosomal RNA", at positions 1470 to 1796 of the family's 1831-position model. The record is from RNAcentral.